This 24-nucleotide non-coding RNA is filed under the name Arabidopsis thaliana (thale cress). The record is from RNAcentral. Lineage: Eukaryota; Viridiplantae; Streptophyta; Magnoliopsida; Brassicales; Brassicaceae.
CGAUAUAUUGCUUUCUCCAUGGUC